CAGGAGGUACAGAGGGGACAAAGAGAGGGGUCAGCUGAGGGGCAUCCAAGAAGAAAGGACUGAGGCGGUUCAGCACUCUGGGCCAGGCACUGUUCUAAGCACUUUGUGCAUACAUUAUCUAAGUGACUCUUCACAACAACAACCUUCUGAGUUAGACAUUGUUCUGUGGCUUCUACUUGGCUGUUGCGGUGAUAAGCUGAGGCCCUGACACCGUGUUCCUGUCACUUUCCUGUUGUGGCCGUGAACGAUGCCUUGAGCUCAGCUCUACCUAGAUGCUUGGACUCAGCUGCUGCAGCUUAGAGGCUCUGGACAAGCCCUUCAGCAUCAGGCCAUCUCUUCCAAGAUUCUGCUCAGUACUUGAGCCUGGAUGAUCUGCUGAGCUUCAGUCUCUGCCCUGCUCCCCUCAUGGAGAACCUGAUUCAUCUGGAGCCUCGGACUCGCUAUGUAGUGGUCCCUGGGAUCAGUGCAGCACUCUUGGAAAAACAGUAAAACAGACUUGUUAUUGGCAGCCCAUUAGUGCUCAGGAGAGGCGGUCUCCAGCAUGACAUCAGCCCGCGGCUCGACCCAAAUCUAGUAUUUCACCAGAGAGCCUAACGCUGCUGGCUUUCCAACUGUGUGGAAGACGUACGUGGGGGAGAGGGAAGAAGGCAUAAAUAAGAUACAGACUGGAGACUUUUUGAUGCGUUUAGCACAUUUUUGUGAUUUCCUUUAAUACGAUAGGUCUUGCAUAAUCUCCUAUUAGGAGAACAAAAGACAAGCCUGAGAUGGGAUGGAGAGUGGGUGGAGAGGGGGAUCCAUUCCAUAAAAAGUUCACUUUGAGUAAUUAGCAUUUUUAAUCCAAAUACUUAA
This is a long non-coding RNA of Pongo pygmaeus (Bornean orangutan), 849 nucleotides long. RefSeq lists it as uncharacterized. Lineage: Eukaryota; Metazoa; Chordata; Mammalia; Primates; Hominidae. The transcript is spliced from 4 exons. The record is from RefSeq and is a predicted model, not a curated record.